CUCAAAUGAAUUGACGGGGGCCCGCACAAGCGGUGGAGCAUGUGGUUUAAUUCGAUGCAACGCGAAGAACCUUACCUGGUCUUGACAUCCACAGAAUUCUGCAGAGAUGCGGAAGUGCCUUCGGGAACUGUGAGACAGGUGCUGCAUGGCUGUCGUCAGCUCGUGUUGUGAAAUGUUGGGUUAAGUCCCGCAACGAGCGCAACCCUUAUC
This 210-nucleotide ribosomal RNA is filed under the name Salmonella enterica subsp. enterica serovar Brancaster. Its description in RNAcentral is "partial 16S ribosomal RNA". It matches the Rfam family "Bacterial small subunit ribosomal RNA", at positions 900 to 1109 of the family's 1533-position model. Lineage: Bacteria; Pseudomonadati; Pseudomonadota; Gammaproteobacteria; Enterobacterales; Enterobacteriaceae. The record is from RNAcentral.